Long non-coding RNA from Carassius auratus (goldfish), 271 nucleotides. RefSeq lists it as uncharacterized. Lineage: Eukaryota; Metazoa; Chordata; Actinopteri; Cypriniformes; Cyprinidae. The record is from RefSeq and is a predicted model, not a curated record. The transcript has 3 exons.
AGCAUCAGCUCCGCGGGUGGCGCCAUCAAACAGCGGAUCCUGAGCGGACCUAUGGCGUGCAUCAGUCGAGAAUUUCUUUGCUGGGACACGGUUGCGCUGAACCCUCUUUUGAGACUGCCUCUGCAUAGGGCCCGGGAUCUUGUGCGGCCCCCUGGGGACGUCCCCUGUUUGCUGGGUACGGUGAGAGGAGGAGGCGACAAUAACUGUGAGGAAAGAGCAGUAAAUGUGGAGAUGGUACAGGAGCACGAUUACAACAGCCGUCCAGUCCCAG